GAACAGCGAGCUGCGAGUGCGCCACCAGUCCGCCAUCUUUCUUACCUUUUUGAUUGUUGACUUGUAAAUUUUGUAAUUAGUUUUUGCCGACGUCCACCGUGCCGUUUUUUAAGUAAUUUUUGGUAUUUUACAAAUUGUGUUACUUUAGUGGACACGUGGAGACAUGGACGCUGACUGUUGGAAGAAUUCGUCAAUUCAGACUGGCGCAAAGAGCUAUCAGGGCGCGAUGCCAGGAAUUUCAUUGCGAGACAGAAUUCGAAAUGAGGAUAUUCGCCAACGCAAUAAAGUUACCGACAUUGCAAAAAGGAUUAACUCAAGUGGGAAUGGACCGGCUAUAUUUUUCGCAGAGAUGACGAUCAAUGGGGUCGCCUAGUAUUGCUGUGGAGACCUAGCCUGGGUGGCCGAGGUGGCGGGAAACCACGAGCAGAUGGUCGGAUGACAUCAAAAAACGGCAGGGCCCACCUGGCACUGGCACAGAACCGCCACAUAUAGAACGGAGUGGAAACCCACGGAAUGCAGACCAGGAUCAUAUACUUUAGGUAUGAGUUUGUUACUUUUGCUCAUAAUAACAUGGAGUAUGUCACAGCUGCUCCACGGGCUGCAUUGAAGGGCAACAGGAGCGAAAAUGGAAAGGAGCUCCCCCUUUCAAUUAGAGAAUCUUAGGAUAUGCUAAGGCAAACAGAAGGAGGCAAGGAACGGGACUGCAUCAAUUGCUGUUUGGAACCAAUCUUGUGGGAUGACUUCUGGACAGGGAAAAAACAAUUUCAUCAUCUACCCUAAUACUGACGAAUGUUCUAAAACGUGCUGUAAGGCAGACAUUUCCAAAUGUAACGGAGGAAAGUUUCGAGACAUGUAAUGGUUUCAACACGCUGCUGAGACCCAACUCAAGAGACGUCAGUUUGUACUGUUUUGUCCAUUCUCUAUUGGGCAUGCUUGUAUGGAGAGGUAUAUAUAUUGGAGUACAGACAUGGUGUUUGGUAUGAGUAUUAUAUACAUCCUCUUGAGUCAAAGAGGACCGGUAGCCACUUUGAACUCCGUGUCCGAAAGGGUCAAAGUAUGGAGCUCCCGGUACUCAGAAAAAAAUUCUGGCCUAUUAGUUUUGAACUUUCGAGUCAAGUUUGGUGUCAUUUUUAUGUAAACUGUUCGCUUCAUUUUUAAAUUGAAGAAGAUUAAAAAUCACAGUAAUAUUAUUAAGGCAAAAGUUUGUGAGCAUACUGUGUUUGUUACUUCCUCACGCCACGCCCAAGUGCCUUAACAAAUAUUAUUUAUAAAAUUAAGUAUGGAGGAAGUAAGAUAUACCCUAAGUUAACACGUCGCUUCUUCUUGAUCGUGG
This is a long non-coding RNA of Leguminivora glycinivorella, 1333 nucleotides long. RefSeq lists it as uncharacterized. Lineage: Eukaryota; Metazoa; Arthropoda; Insecta; Lepidoptera; Tortricidae. The transcript is spliced from 4 exons. The record is from RefSeq and is a predicted model, not a curated record.